Pelobates cultripes (western spadefoot toad) is the source of this 692-nucleotide non-coding RNA. NCBI's taxonomy places the organism in Eukaryota, Metazoa, Chordata, Amphibia, Anura, Pelobatidae. The record is from the annotation of a GenBank genome assembly.
UUGUGUUUGCAGAAGUGUGUGUUGUGUUGGUGUUUAGUUGCUGGGAUGUCUGUACAUGUGCUGCCACAUACAUACUUACACAUUAACAAACAGAAACACACCGACACAUACACAGUCAUAUACACACAGACACACACAAACACAGACACACACACCUUGACACACAGAUACACAGACCGGCACAUACAAACACAGACACACACAACUUGACAUGCAGAUACACACUAGCACACAGAUACACACACUGACACAUACACACUGACACAUACAGGCACACAGAUACACAUACCUUGACACACAGACACACACACUUACACAGAUACACACACCUUGACACACAGAUACACAGACCGGCACAUACAAACACAGAUACAUGCUGACACAUACAGACAGACAUACACAACUUGACACACAGAUCCACACACUGACAGAUACACACUGACACAUACAGGCACAUAGAUACACACACUGGUACAAAGAUACGCACACUGACACACAGACACUCAUACCUUGACACACAGUGUGUAUCUGUGUGUGUAUGUAUUUGUGUAUCAAGGUGUGUGUAUCUGUGUGUCAAGUUGUGUAUAUCUGUGAGUAUGUGCCGGUCUAUAUCUGUGUUUGUAUGUGCUGGUGUGUGUAUCUGUGUCUCAGUGUGAAUCUGUGUGUGCAUGUAUCUGACACACAGAUACACA